This 265-nucleotide signal recognition particle RNA is filed under the name Ectobacillus ponti. RNAcentral's name for it is "Bacterial large signal recognition particle RNA". It matches the Rfam family "Bacterial large signal recognition particle RNA". Rfam says of the family: The signal recognition particle (SRP) is a universally conserved ribonucleoprotein involved in the co-translational targeting of proteins to membranes. Archaeal SRP consists of a 7S RNA and homologues of the eukaryotic SRP19 and SRP54 proteins. The record is from Rfam by way of RNAcentral. Lineage: Bacteria; Bacillati; Bacillota; Bacilli; Caryophanales; Bacillaceae.
CCGUGAUAGGCGGGGAGCUAGCGGUGCCCUGUACUCGCAAUCCGCUUCAGCGAGGCCGAAUUCCCUUCUGCGGUAUGAUGGAUGUAAGGUUCGCCUGAUAGAAGCGGUGUUGACCUUCGGAGUCCUCGCAACGAAUGCCCAUGAACCUGGUCAGGCCGGGAACGGAGCAGCCAUAAGUGGUUUCAUUCGUGUGUCGCAGGGUCGCUCUGGACGAGCUGGCUGGAUCAGCAGCACUUAUGUCGUCAUCACAAGGAAGGGUUCACGG